Molecule: transfer RNA, 72 nt
Filed under: Ictidomys tridecemlineatus (thirteen-lined ground squirrel)
Lineage: Eukaryota; Metazoa; Chordata; Mammalia; Rodentia; Sciuridae
Description: Spermophilus tridecemlineatus (thirteen-lined ground squirrel) tRNA
Rfam family: tRNA
About the family: Transfer RNA (tRNA) molecules are approximately 80 nucleotides in length.
Source: Rfam by way of RNAcentral
GGGGAUGUAGCUCAGUGGUAGAGCUCUUGCCUAGAAUGCAUGAGGCCCUGGGUUCCAUCCCUCGUACCACCA